RNAcentral lists this unclassified non-coding RNA (247 nucleotides) under Dothideomycetes sp. RNAcentral's name for it is "partial contains small subunit ribosomal RNA, internal transcribed spacer 1, and 5.8S ribosomal RNA". The stretch from base 1 to 46 matches the Rfam family "Eukaryotic small subunit ribosomal RNA", at positions 1786 to 1831 of the family's 1831-position model. The record is from RNAcentral. RNAcentral also lists the same sequence under 1 other name. Lineage: Eukaryota; Fungi; Ascomycota; Dothideomycetes.
AAGUCGUAACAAGGUUUCCGUAGGUGAACCUGCGGAAGGAUCAUUACUUGGCCUUGGGCCGCUCACGGGAGACCGUGGGUGCUUAGCCCUUGAUCACUACCUUGACUAUGCGCACCUUUGUUGUUCCCUCGGCAGGAUGCUCUGCGUACUGCCGCGAGGAACCCCUUAAACCUUUUGCAAUCAGCAUUAAACUUCUGAAAACAAACCUAAUUAUUUACAACUUUUAACAAUGGAUCUCUUGGUUCUG